GAUGAACGCUGGCGGCGUGCCUAAUACAUGCAAGUCGAGCGAACAGAUAAGGAGCUUGCUCCUUUGACGUUAGCGGCGGACGGGUGAGUAACACGUGGGUAACCUACCUAUAAGACUGGGAUAACUUCGGGAAACCGGAGCUAAUACCGGAUAAUAUUUCGAACCGCAUGGUUCGAUAGUGAAAGAUGGUUUUGCUAUCACUUAUAGAUGGACCCGCGCCGUAUUAGCUAGUUGGUAAGGUAACGGCUUACCAAGGCGACGAUACGUAGCCGACCUGAGAGGGUGAUCGGCCACACUGGAACUGAGACACGGUCCAGACUCCUACGGGAGGCAGCAGUAGGGAAUCUUACGCAAUGGGCGAAAGCCUGACGGAGCAACGCCGCGUGAGUGAUGAAGGUCUUCGGAUCGUAAAACUCUGUUAUUAGGGAAGAACAUACGUGUAAGUAACUGUGCACGUCUUGACGGUACCUAAUCAGAAAGCCACGGCUAACUACGUG
This 497-nucleotide ribosomal RNA is filed under the name uncultured bacterium. RNAcentral describes it as "partial 16S ribosomal RNA". It matches the Rfam family "Bacterial small subunit ribosomal RNA", at positions 28 to 507 of the family's 1533-position model. The record is from RNAcentral.